This is a long non-coding RNA of Hippocampus zosterae (dwarf seahorse), 1733 nucleotides long. RefSeq lists it as uncharacterized. The record is from RefSeq and is a predicted model, not a curated record. Lineage: Eukaryota; Metazoa; Chordata; Actinopteri; Syngnathiformes; Syngnathidae. The transcript has 2 exons.
GUCCUUUUUGCAAUUAUCCACAAUGCACUACCGGCGGCCAUAUUGGAGGGCUGUUAUAAACAGGCCAUAGACGAAGUCUAUUGUGAAUGUUCAUUCAUCCAAGAAUAUGCCGCUGACUCUUGUCAACUGUCACAACCGAGGUGGGAGGGAUAAAAAGAGUUUUAUCGCAUUCCUAGGGUUCUAAAAGGCCAAGGAGAGGCAGCAGAAAAGAAAAGUGAGCGACGUAGAAGACAGUGGCUUGCUGGUAUCAACCGUUCUGAAGUGAAAAUUUACGACCAACUUCGUGUGUGUUCUGAUCACUUCAUAUCGGGAAAGCCUCACUUGGAUGAUGAAACUGAUCCCGAUUCGGCACCAAGCAAACUAUUAGGGUAUGAAACUCCAAGAUCACCAUCAAAAGCUGCUAUCAGACAUGAGAGACUUCUCAACAGGAAAGAUGCAAGGAAAAAGACUGAAGCCGAUAUGAGUCUUUUGGAACUCAGCACAUACUUGCAAGCUUACAGUAGAGCUGAUUGACCAGCGGAAACAGAAGGAUCAUUACCAGAGGUACCUGAGGAGGUAGAGGUAUUGUCUGAUGCUGAGAAGCUGGAUUUGGCAAAUGAAGAAAUUUCUCAGCUGAGGAAAGAAAACCAACUAUUGACAGAACAAAAUGAGUGUUUGAAGAGCACCGUGCAUAAGAUGAAGGCAAACUUGCGAGAGGACUUUUAAAAUGACAAUGAUAAAGUUAAAUAUUACACCAGGUUACCAAGUUUUAUGACACUAAUGGCACUGUUUAAUCUUUUGGCUCCUGAAAUGAGUGAAAAUAGACAUUCUACUUUGAACAAAUUUCAAAAACUCAUGAUCACCCUGAUGAGAUUAAGACUUAAUAUGCCAAUUAUAGAUCUCAGUUACAGGUUUGGAGUUUCAAAAACAACAGUGUUUAAAGCAUUCUUGGAUACACUGAAUCUGAUGUAUUAUGUACUGCAACCUUUAGUGCGAUGACCGGAGCGAAAUGAACUUCAGGACACAAUGCCUAUGGCUUUCCGUAAAUACUUUGGUCGCAGAGUUACCUGUAUUAUUGACUGCUUCGAAAUGUUCACCGACAGACCUUCCAACAUGACUGCAAGGGCACAAACCUGGUCCAACUACAAGCAUCAUAAUACAGCUAAGUACUUAAUAGGGAUUACUCCUCAGGGAAGUGUCAGUUUCAUCUCAGAAGGCUGGGGUGGAAGAGUGACUGACAAGUACUUGACAGCAAACUGUAAAUUUUUGAAUAACCUUAUAAAUGGAGAUUUCAUACUAGCAGACAUUCAGGAAGUGGUAGCACCUGUGGGAGCAGAAGUUAAAUAUCCAGCUUUCAUUUAAAGGGAAAACACAGCUGAGUGCGAAGUUGAAUCGACAAGGAAAAUAGCCAAUGUCAGGAUUCAUGUGGAGCGUCUAAUAGGAACUGUGCGACAGAAAUUCAUGAUCCUUGGUGCUACUUGUCCAAUAGAUUACCUGCCUUCAAAACCUAGUGAUGAGUGUACAAUUCUGGACACGAUUGUCUUUGUGUGUCUAACAUGUGUCCAUCUGUUGUACCUUUUGAUUGAAGCAGGCAUAAACAUUAUUCACUUUGAUGUGUAAUAUGUAUCAGUGGUAUUGUGAUACAUAUACUUUGGCAAAGUAUAUUUUACAAAGAACAUUAAAGACAUGUUUUUGUUAUUUAUUCUGGAAGAAAUAAUUUUGUACUAAUGAAAAUAAAACUAAAUCUUGUAUUC